Molecule: small nuclear RNA, 103 nt
Filed under: Cephalotus follicularis
Lineage: Eukaryota; Viridiplantae; Streptophyta; Magnoliopsida; Oxalidales; Cephalotaceae
Source: RNAcentral
GUCCCUCCCAGGACAUCCGAUAAAAUUGGAACGAUACAGAGAAGAUUAACAUGGCCCCUGCACAAGGAUGACAUGCAUAAAUCGAGAAAUGAUCCAAAUUUUU